RNAcentral lists this ribosomal RNA (397 nucleotides) under uncultured bacterium. RNAcentral's name for it is "partial 16S ribosomal RNA". It matches the Rfam family "Bacterial small subunit ribosomal RNA", at positions 361 to 775 of the family's 1533-position model. The record is from RNAcentral.
AUAUUGGACAAUGGGCGCAAGCCUGACCCAGCCAUGCCGCGCGCGCGAUGAAAGCCCUAGGGUUGUAAAGCGCUUUCACCGGUGAAGAUAAUGACGGUAACCGUAGCACAAGCCCCGUCUAACUUCGUUCCAGCAGCCGCGGUAAUACGAAGGGGGCUAGCGUUGUUCGGAAUUACUGGGCGUAAAGCGCACGUAGGCGGAUUGGUCAGUUAGGGGUGAAAGCCCAGGGCUCAACCCUGGAACUGCCUUUAAUACUGCCGGUCUAGAGUUCGAGAGAGGUGAGUGGAAUUCCGAGUGUAGAGGUGAAAUUCGUAGAUAUUCGGAGGAACACCAGUGGCGAAGGCGGCUCACUGGCUCGAUACUGACGCUGAGGUGCGAAAGCGUGGGGAGCAAACAG